GAUGAACGCUGGCGGCGUGCCUAACACAUGCAAGUCGAGCGUGAUUGCCAUGAGUGGAGACUUCGGUCGAAGCGAGUGUCAUGAAAGCGGCGGACGGGUGAGUAACGCGUGGGCAACCUGCCCCAUACACGGGAAUAGCCACUGGAAACGGUGAUUAAUGCCCGAUAAGACCACACUGCCACAUGGCAGAGCGGCCAAAGAUUUAUCGGUAUGGGAUGGGCCCGCGUCUGAUUAGCUAGUUGGUGAGGUAACGGCUCACCAAGGCGACGAUCAGUAACCGACCUGAGAGGGCGGACGGUCACACUGGAACUGAGACACGGUCCAGACUCCUACGGGUGGCUG
Molecule: ribosomal RNA, 342 nt
Filed under: uncultured Bacillota bacterium
Lineage: Bacteria; Bacillati; Bacillota
Description: bacterial SSU rRNA
Rfam family: Bacterial small subunit ribosomal RNA
Source: RNAcentral